UACGUAGGGACCAAGCGUUGUUCGGAUUUACUGGGCGUAAAGGGCGCGUAGGCGGCGUGUCAAGUCAAUUGUGAAAUCUCCGAGCUUAACUCGGAACGGUCAAUUGAUACUGAUGUGCUAGAGUGCAGAAGGGGCAAUCGGAAUUCUUGGUGUAGCGGUGAAAUGACGUAGAUAUCAAGAGGAACACCUUGAGGUGAAGACGGGUUGCUGGGCUGACACUGACGCUGGAGGCGCGAAAGCAUGGGGAGCGAACAGG
RNAcentral lists this ribosomal RNA (256 nucleotides) under uncultured bacterium. RNAcentral's name for it is "partial 16S ribosomal RNA". It matches the Rfam family "Bacterial small subunit ribosomal RNA", at positions 524 to 776 of the family's 1533-position model. The record is from RNAcentral.